RNAcentral lists this ribosomal RNA (1357 nucleotides) under uncultured Prochlorococcus sp. RNAcentral's name for it is "bacterial SSU rRNA". It matches the Rfam family "Bacterial small subunit ribosomal RNA". The record is from RNAcentral. Lineage: Bacteria; Bacillati; Cyanobacteriota; Cyanophyceae; Synechococcales; Prochlorococcaceae.
GGGGGAUAACGGUUGGAAACGACCGCUAAUACCCCAUAUGCCGAUAGGUGAAAUGAAUUUCGCCUGAGGAUGAGCUCGCGUCUGAUUAGCUUGUUGGUGAGGUAAUGGCUCACCAAGGCUUCGAUCAGUAGCUGGUCUGAGAGGAUGAUCAGCCACACUGGGACUGAGACACGGCCCAGACUCCUACGGGAGGCAGCAGUGGGGAAUUUUCCGCAAUGGGCGAAAGCCUGACGGAGCAACGCCGCGUGAGGGACGAAGGCCUCUGGGCUGUAAACCUCUUUUCUCAAGGAAGAAGAUAUGACGGUACUUGAGGAAUAAGCCACGGCUAAUUCCGUGCCAGCAGCCGCGGUAAUACGGGAGUGGCAAGCGUUAUCCGGAAUUAUUGGGCGUAAAGCGUCCGCAGGCGGCCUUUCAAGUCUGCUGUUAAAGAGUGGAGCUUAACUCCAUCAUGGCAGUGGAAACUGAUUGGCUUGAGUAUGGUAGGGGCAGAGGGAAUUCCCGGUGUAGCGGUGAAAUGCGUAGAUAUCGGGAAGAACACCAGUGGCGAAGGCGCUCUGCUGGGCCAUUACUGACGCUCAUGGACGAAAGCCAGGGGAGCGAAAGGGAUUAGAUACCCCUGUAGUCCUGGCCGUAAACGAUGAACACUAGGUGUCCGGGGAAUCGACCCCUUCGGUGUCGUAGNUAACACAUUAAGUGUUCCGCCUGGGGAGUACGCACGCAAGUGUGAAACUCAAAGGAAUUGACGGGGGCCCGCACAAGCGGUGGAGUAUGUGGUUUAAUUCGAUGCAACGCGAAGAACCUUACCAGGGUUUGACAUCCUGAGAACCUCUUAGAAAUUUGAGGGUGCCUUCGGGAAUUCAGUGACAGGUGGUGCAUGGCUGUCGUCAGCUCGUGUCGUGAGAUGUUGGGUUAAGUCCCGCAACGAGCGCAACCCACGUUUUUAGUUGCCAGCAUUUAGUUGGGCACUCUAGAAAGACCGCCGGUGAUAAACCGGAGGAAGGUGUGGAUGACGUCAAGUCAUCAUGCCCCUUACACCCUGGGCUACACACGUACUACAAUGCUACGGACAAAGGGCAGCAAACUCGCGAGAGCUAGCAAAUCCCACAAACCGUGGCUCAGUUCAGAUCGUAGGCUGCAACUCGCCUACGUGAAGUAGGAAUCGCUAGUAAUCGCAGGUCAGCAUACUGCGGUGAAUACGUUCCCGGGCCUUGUACACACCGCCCGUCACACCAUGGAAGUUGGCCACGCCCGAAGUCGUUACUCCAACCCUUGUGGAGGAGGACGCCGAAGGUGGGGCUAAUGACUGGGGUGAAGUCGUAACAAGGUAGCCGUACCGGAAGGUGCGGCUGGAUCACCU